GGUUAAGCGACUAAGCGUACACGGUGGAUGCCCUGGCAGUCAGAGGCGAUGAAGGACGUGCUAAUCUGCGAUAAGCGUCGGUAAGGUGAUAUGAACCGUUAUAACCGGCGAUUUCCGAAUGGGGAAACCCAGUGUGAUUCGUCACACUAUCAUUAACUGAAUCCAUAGGUUAAUGAGGCGAACCGGGGAACUGAAACAUCUAAGUACCCCGAGGAAAAGAAAUCAACCGAGAUUCCCCAGUAGCGGCGAGCGAACGGGGAGCAGCCCAGAGCCUGAAUCAGUGUGUGUGUUAGUGGAAGCGUCUGGAAAGGCGCGCGAUACAGGGUGACAGCCCCGUACACAAAAAUGCACAUACUGUGAGCUCGAUGAGUAGGGCGGGACACGUGGUAUCCUGUCUGAAUAUGGGGGACCAUCCUCCAAGGCUAAAUACUCCUGACUGACCGAUAGUGAACCAGUACCGUGAGGGAAAGGCGAAAAGAACCCCGGCGAGGGAGUGAAAAAGAACCUGAAACCGUGUACGUACAAGCAGUGGGAGCACAGAGCAAUCUGUGUGACUGCGUACCUUUUGUAUAAUGGGUCAGCGACUUAUAUUCUGUAGCAAGGUUAACCGAAUAGGGGAGCCGAAGGGAAACCGAGUCUUAACUGGGCGUUAAGUUGCAGGGUAUAGACCCGAAACCCGGUGAUCUAGCCAUGGGCAGGUUGAAGGUUGGGUAACACUAACUGGAGGACCGAACCGACUAAUGUUGAAAAAUUAGCGGAUGACUUGUGGCUGGGGGUGAAAGGCCAAUCAAACCGGGAGAUAGCUGGUUCUCCCCGAAAGCUAUUUAGGUAGCGCCUCGUGAAUUCAUCUCCGGGGUAGAGCACUGUUUCGGCAAGGGGUCAUCCCGACUUACCAACCCGAUGCAAACUGCGAAUACCGGAGAAUGUUAUCACGGGAGACACACGGCGGGUGCUAACGUCCGUCGUGAAGAGGGAAACAACCCAGACCGCCAGCUAAGGUCCCAAAGUCAUGGUUAAGUGGGAAACGAUGUGGGAAGGCCCAGACAGCCAGGAUGUUGGCUUAGAAGCAGCCAUCAUUUAAAGAAAGCGUAAUAGCUCACUGGUCGAGUCGGCCUGCGCGGAAGAUGUAACGGGGCUAAACCAUGCACCGAAGCUGCGGCAGCGACGCUGAUGCGUUGUUGGGUAGGGGAGCGUUCUGUAAGCCUGUGAAGGUGUGCUGUGAGGCAUGCUGGAGGUAUCAGAAGUGCGAAUGCUGACAUAAGUAACGAUAAAGCGGGUGAAAAGCCCGCUCGCCGGAAGACCAAGGGUUCCUGUCCAACGUUAAUCGGGGCAGGGUGAGUCGACCCCUAAGGCGAGGCCGAAAGGCGUAGUCGAUGGGAAACAGGUUAAUAUUCCUGUACUUGGUGUUACUGCGAAGGGGGACGGAGAAGGCUAUGUUGGCCGGGCGACGGUUGUCCCGGUUUAAGCGUGUAGGCUGGUUUUCCAGGCAAAUCCGGAAAAUCAAGGCUGAGGCGUGAUGACGAGGCACUACGGUGCUGAAGCAACAAAUGCCCUGCUUCCAGGAAAAGCCUCUAAGCAUCAGGUAACAUCAAAUCGUACCCCAAACCGACACAGGUGGUCAGGUAGAGAAUACCAAGGCGCUUGAGAGAACUCGGGUGAAGGAACUAGGCAAAAUGGUGCCGUAACUUCGGGAGAAGGCACGCUGAUAUGUAGGUGAAGUCCCUCGCGGAUGGAGCUGAAAUCAGUCGAAGAUACCAGCUGGCUGCAACUGUUUAUUAAAAACACAGCACUGUGCAAACACGAAAGUGGACGUAUACGGUGUGACGCCUGCCCGGUGCCGGAAGGUUAAUUGAUGGGGUCAGCGCAAGCGAAGCUCUUGAUCGAAGCCCCGGUAAACGGCGGCCGUAACUAUAACGGUCCUAAGGUAGCGAAAUUCCUUGUCGGGUAAGUUCCGACCUGCACGAAUGGCGUAAUGAUGGCCAGGCUGUCUCCACCCGAGACUCAGUGAAAUUGAACUCGCUGUGAAGAUGCAGUGUACCCGCGGCAAGACGGAAAGACCCCGUGAACCUUUACUAUAGCUUGACACUGAACAUUGAGCCUUGAUGUGUAGGAUAGGUGGGAGGCUUAGAAGUGUGGACGCCAGUCUGCAUGGAGCCGACCUUGAAAUACCACCCUUUAAUGUUUGAUGUUCUAACGUUGACCCGUAAUCCGGGUUGCGGACAGUGUCUGGUGGGUAGUUUGACUGGGGCGGUCUCCUCCUAAAGAGUAACGGAGGAGCACGAAGGUUGGCUAAUCCUGGUCGGACAUCAGGAGGUUAGUGCAAUGGCAUAAGCCAGCUUGACUGCGAGCGUGACGGCGCGAGCAGGUGCGAAAGCAGGUCAUAGUGAUCCGGUGGUUCUGAAUGGAAGGGCCAUCGCUCAACGGAUAAAAGGUACUCCGGGGAUAACAGGCUGAUACCGCCCAAGAGUUCAUAUCGACGGCGGUGUUUGGCACCUCGAUGUCGGCUCAUCACAUCCUGGGGCUGAAGUAGGUCCCAAGGGUAUGGCUGUUCGCCAUUUAAAGUGGUACGCGAGCUGGGUUUAGAACGUCGUGAGACAGUUCGGUCCCUAUCUGCCGUGGGCGCUGGAGAAUUGAGGGGGCUGCUCCUAGUACGAGAGGACCGGAGUGGACGCAUCACUGGUGUUCGGGUUGUCAUGCCAAUGGCACUGCCCGGUAGCUAAAUGCGGAAGAGAUAAGUGCUGAAAGCAUCUAAGCACGAAACUUGCCCCGAGAUGAGUUCUCCUGACUCCUUGAGAGUCCUGAAGGAACGUUGAAGACGACGACGUUGAUAGGCCGGGUGUGUAAGCGCAGCGAUGCGUUGAGCUAACCGGUACUAAUGAACCGUGAGGCUUAACCUU
This 2897-nucleotide ribosomal RNA is filed under the name Escherichia coli. Its description in RNAcentral is "23S ribosomal RNA". It matches the Rfam family "Bacterial large subunit ribosomal RNA". The record is from RNAcentral. Lineage: Bacteria; Pseudomonadati; Pseudomonadota; Gammaproteobacteria; Enterobacterales; Enterobacteriaceae.